Molecule: ribosomal RNA, 454 nt
Filed under: uncultured bacterium
Lineage: Bacteria
Description: partial 16S ribosomal RNA
Rfam family: Bacterial small subunit ribosomal RNA
Source: RNAcentral
GAUGAACGCUGACAGAAUGCUUAACACAUGCAAGUCUACUUGAACUUCGGUUUGGGUGGCGGACGGGUGAGUAACGCGUAAAGAACUUGCCUCACAGAUAGGGACAACAUUUGGAAACGAAUGCUAAUACCUGAUAUUAUGAUUUUAGGGCAUCCUAGAAUUAUGAAAGCUAUAUGCACUGUGAGAGAGCUUUGCGUCCCAUUAGCUAGUUGGAGAGGUAACGGCUCACCAAGGCGAUGAUGGGUAGCCGGCCUGAGAGGGUGAUCGGCCACAAGGGGACUGAGACACGGCCCUUACUCCUACGGGAGGCAGCAGUGGGGAAUAUUGGACAAUGGACCAAGAGUCUGAUCCAGCAAUUCUGUGUACACGAUGAAGUUUUUCGGAAUGUAAAGUGCUUUCAGUUGGGAAGAAAAAAAUGACGGUACCAACAGAAGAAGUGACGGCUAAAUACGUG